GUACAUUCAGUAUGCAAAACAAGAAAAGGGUUUACAAACACAAUGGAGCAACAAGAGAGUGACCACAUGGCCAUUGUGCCCUAUGCAAGUCCCCCAACAAGAUGACGGUUGGUCGUGUGGGUUGCAUGCUUUGAGAUUCAUGGAGAAUUGGAAUGGAAAAGACUUGUCCAGCGAGUUCUACACAAUGGACACAACCACUCUAUACCGACAAAAGGUGGCUUCUGACCUUAUCAAUAGUUCUCUGAAUAUUAUCAUCGAAGUGCAAGAAGAUAUAGCUCAUCUACACACCGAAGCAGCAAAAGAUGCAAUUUCUGACCCAACGAAGAAGCACUGAGACCUCGUUUCAUGUCUAUGUACAAAUGUAUCUAGUUAUUGUUGCUGUAAAACUUUUAUUUUGGGGAUGACUAAUGUAAUGCACACUGAGCAUAUAUUCAGAUACACAUCAAUCUAUUUUGCCACAAAUUCAAGAAAUAUAAGCUAGCAGAACAAAACAACUACCUCCCUAGCAUGAAUCGGCACCAACACCAAUCUUCUGAUCUGCGCUCGACCUGCAGCAAAGCUGCUCAAUCUUCCUCCUCGGAUCUGGGCGCCGUGCAGAAUGCCGAGCCGGUGUUUUUCCAGCAAA
Molecule: long non-coding RNA, 625 nt
Organism: Oryza brachyantha (malo sina)
Lineage: Eukaryota; Viridiplantae; Streptophyta; Magnoliopsida; Poales; Poaceae
Exons: 3
Source: RefSeq, a predicted model, not a curated record